AUCUUUCUAGUAUUAAUGUCUAGUACAGUUGACUUCCAAUCACCCUGUCUUGGUUAAAAUCCAAGGAAAGAUA
Molecule: transfer RNA, 73 nt
Filed under: Pomatomus saltator
Lineage: Eukaryota; Metazoa; Chordata; Actinopteri; Scombriformes; Pomatomidae
Description: tRNA-Gly
Rfam family: tRNA
About the family: Transfer RNA (tRNA) molecules are approximately 80 nucleotides in length.
Source: RNAcentral